GUCCUAGCUGUAAACGGUGGGCACUAGGUGUAGGAGGCAUCGACCCCUCCUGUGCCGUAGCUAACGCAUUAAGUGCCCCGCCUGGGGGAGUACGACCGCAAGGUUGAAACUCAAAGGAAUUGACGGGGGCCCGCACAAGCGGUGGAGCAUGUGGUUUAAUUCGAUGCAACGCGAAGAACCUUACCCAGGUUUGACAUGCAUUGGACAGGUGUGGAAACACACCCUCCCUUCGGGGCCAUGCACAGGUGCUGCAUGGCUGUCGU
RNAcentral lists this ribosomal RNA (263 nucleotides) under uncultured bacterium. RNAcentral's name for it is "partial 16S ribosomal RNA". It matches the Rfam family "Bacterial small subunit ribosomal RNA", at positions 793 to 1055 of the family's 1533-position model. The record is from RNAcentral.